AGAGUUUGAUCCUGGCUCAGGACGAACGCUGGCGGCGUGCCUAAUACAUGCAAGUAGAACGCUGAAGUGAGGAGCUUGCUCUUCUUGGAUGAGUUGCGAACGGGUGAGUAACGCGUAGGUAACCUGCCUUGUAGCGGGGGAUAACUAUUGGAAACGAUAGCUAAUACCGCAUAACAAUGGAUGACCCAUGUCAUUUAUUUGAAAGGGGCAAAUGCUCCACUACAAGAUGGACCUGCGUUGUAUUAGCUAGUAGGUGAGGUAACGGCUCACCUAGGCGACGAUACAUAGCCGACCUGAGAGGGUGAUCGGCCACACUGGGACUGAGACACGGCCCAGACUCCUACGGGAGGCAGCAGUAGGGAAUCUUCGGCAAUGGGGGCAACCCUGACCGAGCAACGCCGCGUGAGUGAAGAAGGUUUUCGGAUCGUAAAGCUCUGUUGUAAGUCAAGAACGAGUGUGAGAGUGGAAAGUUCACACUGUGACGGUAGCUUACCAGAAAGGGACGGCUAACUACGUGCCAGCAGCCGCGGUAAUACGUAGGUCCCGAGCGUUGUCCGGAUUUAUUGGGCGUAAAGCGAGCGCAGGCGGUUUGAUAAGUCUGAAGUUAAAGGCUGUGGCUCAACCAUAGUUCGCUUUGGAAACUGUCAAACUUGAGUGCAGAAGGGGAGAGUGGAAUUCCAUGUGUAGCGGUGAAAUGCGUAGAUAUAUGGAGGAACACCGGUGGCGAAAGCGGCUCUCUGGUCUGUAACUGACGCUGAGGCUCGAAAGCGUGGGGAGCGAACAGGAUUAGAUACCCUGGUAGUCCACGCCGUAAACGAUGAGUGCUAGGUGUUGGAUCCUUUCCGGGAUUCAGUGCCGCAGCUAACGCAUUAAGCACUCCGCCUGGGGAGUACGACCGCAAGGUUGAAACUCAAAGGAAUUGACGGGGGCCCGCACAAGCGGUGGAGCAUGUGGUUUAAUUCGAAGCAACGCGAAGAACCUUACCAGGUCUUGACAUCCCGAUGCUAUUUCUAGAGAUAGAAAGUUACUUCGGUACAUCGGUGACAGGUGGUGCAUGGUUGUCGUCAGCUCGUGUCGUGAGAUGUUGGGUUAAGUCCCGCAACGAGCGCAACCCCUAUUGUUAGUUGCCAUCAUUCAGUUGGGCACUCUAGCGAGACUGCCGGUAAUAAACCGGAGGAAGGUGGGGAUGACGUCAAAUCAUCAUGCCCCUUAUGACCUGGGCUACACACGUGCUACAAUGGUUGGUACAACGAGUUGCGAGUCGGUGACGGCAAGCUAAUCUCUUAAAGCCAAUCUCAGUUCGGAUUGUAGGCUGCAACUCGCCUACAUGAAGUCGGAAUCGCUAGUAAUCGCGGAUCAGCACGCCGCGGUGAAUACGUUCCCGGGCCUUGUACACACCGCCCGUCACACCACGAGAGUUUGUAACACCCGAAGUCGGUGAGGUAACCUUUUGGAGCCAGCCGCCUAAGGUGGGAUAGAUGAUUGGGGUGAAGUCGUAACAAGGUA
Molecule: ribosomal RNA, 1506 nt
Filed under: metagenome
Description: bacterial SSU rRNA
Rfam family: Bacterial small subunit ribosomal RNA
Source: RNAcentral